This 76-nucleotide transfer RNA is filed under the name Fervidobacterium thailandense. RNAcentral describes it as "tRNA-Arg". It matches the Rfam family "tRNA". Rfam says of the family: Transfer RNA (tRNA) molecules are approximately 80 nucleotides in length. Their secondary structure includes four short double-helical elements and three loops (D, anti-codon, and T loops). Further hydrogen bonds mediate the characteristic L-shaped molecular structure. tRNAs have two regions of fundamental functional importance: the anti-codon, which is responsible for specific mRNA codon recognition, and the 3' end, to which the tRNAs corresponding amino acid is attached (by aminoacyl-tRNA synthetases). tRNAs cope with the degeneracy of the genetic code in two manners: having more than one tRNA (with a specific anti-codon) for a particular amino acid; and 'wobble' base-pairing, i.e. permitting non-standard base-pairing at the 3rd anti-codon position. The record is from RNAcentral. Lineage: Bacteria; Thermotogati; Thermotogota; Thermotogae; Thermotogales; Fervidobacteriaceae. RNAcentral also lists the same sequence under 1 other name.
GUGCUCGUAGCUCAAAUGGAUAGAGCAUCGGACUCCGGAUCCGAGUGUGCGGGUUCGAGUCCCGCCGAGCACGCCA